AGAGUUUGAUCCUGGCUCAGGACGAACGCUGGCGGCGUGCCUAAAACAUGCAAGUCGAACGACCCUUCGGGGUAGUGGCGAACGGCGUAGUAAUACAUGAGAAACGUGCCCUUAAGACUGGGAUAUACCGAGGAAACCCGGAGCAAUACCAGAUGUGACGGAGUGGUGGCAUCACCAUUCCGUUAAACGGUUUUUCGCUUAAGGAGCGUCUCAUGGCCUAUCAGGUAGUUGGUGAGGUAAUGGCUCACCAAGCCGACGACGGGUAGCGGGUCUGAGAGGAUGAUCCGCACGAGUGGGACUGCGACGCGGCCCACACACCUACGGGUGGCAGCAGUUGGGAAUCUUGCACAAUGGGGGAAACCCUGAUGCAGCGACGCCGCGUGGACGAUGAAGGCCUUAGGGUUGUAAAGUCCUUUUUUGGGGAAAGACUUAGGACGGUACCCCAAGAAUAAGCUCCGGCUAACUACGUGCCAGCAGCCGCGGUAAGACGUAGGGAGCAAGCGUUGUCCGGAUUUACUGGGCGUAAAGAGCGCGUAGGCGGCUCGUUAAGUGUGAAGUGAAAUCUCCAGUGCUCAACACGGAAACUGCUUUACAUACUGGCGAGCUUGAGGAAAGCAGAGGCAACUGGAAUUCCCAGUGUAGAGGUGAAAUUCGUAGAUAUUGGGAAGAACACCGGUGGCGAAGGCGGCUCACUGGCUCGUUUCUGACGCUGUAGCGCGAAAGCGUGGGAUCAAACAGGAUUAGAUACCCUGGUAGUCCACGCUGUAAACGAUGAGUGCUAGGCGUUGGCACGCUUGCGUGUCAGUGCCGCANUAACGCGUGAAGCACUCCGCCUGGGGAGUACGGUCGCAAGAUUAAAACUCAAAGGAAUUGACGGGGGCCCGCACAAGCGGUGGAGCAUGUGGUUUAAUUCGACGCAACGCGCAGAACCUUACCAGCCCUUGACAUGCCGUGCUACUCACAGAGAUGUGGGGUUCCAGCAAUGGACGCGGACACAGGUGCUGCAUGGCUGUCGUCAGCUCGUGUCGUGAGAUGUUGGGUUAAGUCCCGCAACGAGCGCAACCCUUGCCUUCAGUUGCCAUCAUUAAGUUGGGCACUCUGGAGGGACUGCCGGCGGUAAGCCGGAGGAAGGUGGGGAUGACGUCAAGUCCUCAUGGCCCUUACGGGCUGGGCUACACACGUGCUACAAUGGUGGCGACAGAGGGCACAAGCGAGCGUGUGAACGUUAGCAAAUCCCAAAAAGCCAUCUCAGUUCAGAUUGCGCUCUGCAACUCGGGCGCAUGAAGGUGGAAUCGCUAGUAAUCGCAGAACAGCAGGCUGCGGUGAAUACGUUCCCGGGCCUUGUACACACCGCCCGUCACACCAUGGGAGUUGGUUUUACCUUAAGACGGUGCGCUAACCCGCAAGGGAUGCAGCCGGCCACGGUAAGGUCAGCGACUGGGGUGAAGUCGUAACAAGGUAGCC
This 1464-nucleotide ribosomal RNA is filed under the name uncultured bacterium. RNAcentral describes it as "partial 16S ribosomal RNA". It matches the Rfam family "Bacterial small subunit ribosomal RNA". The record is from RNAcentral.